This 265-nucleotide ribosomal RNA is filed under the name uncultured bacterium. RNAcentral's name for it is "partial 16S ribosomal RNA". It matches the Rfam family "Bacterial small subunit ribosomal RNA", at positions 524 to 787 of the family's 1533-position model. The record is from RNAcentral.
UACGGAGGGUGCGAGCGUUGUCCGGAAUCACUGGGCGUAAAGGGCGCGUAGGCGGCCUGAUAAGUAGGGGGUGAAAUCCUGCGGCUUAACCGCAGGGCUGCCUUCUAAACUGUCAGGCUGGAGCACAGUAGAGGCAGGUGGAAUUCCCGGUGUAGCGGUGGAAUGCGUAGAGAUCGGGAAGAACAUCAGUGGCGAAGGCGGCCUGCUGGGCUGUUGCUGACGCUGAGGCGCGAAAGCGUGGGGAGCAAACAGGGAUUAAGAAACC